RNAcentral lists this ribosomal RNA (508 nucleotides) under uncultured bacterium. RNAcentral's name for it is "bacterial SSU rRNA". It matches the Rfam family "Bacterial small subunit ribosomal RNA", at positions 108 to 603 of the family's 1533-position model. The record is from RNAcentral.
GAGUAACGCGUAGGUAACCUGCCUCUUAGCGGGGGAUAACUAUUGGAAACGAUAGCUAAUACCGCAUAAAAGUCGAUAUCGCAUGAUAUUGAUUUGAAAGGUGCAAAUGCAUCACUAAGAGAUGGACCUGCGUUGUAUUAGCUAGUUGGUGAGGUAACGGCUCACCAAGGCGACGAUACAUAGCCGACCUGAGAGGGUGAUCGGCCACACUGGGACUGAGACACGGCCCAGACUCCUACGGGAGGCAGCAGUAGGGAAUCUUCGGCAAUGGGGGCAACCCUGACCGAGCAACGCCGCGUGAGUGAAGAAGGUUUUCGGAUCGUAAAGCUCUGUUGUAAGAGAAGAACGAGUGUGAGAGUGGAAAGUUCACACUGUGACGGUAACUUACCAGAAAGGGACGGCUAACUACGUGCCAGCAGCCGCGGUAAUACGUAGGUCCCGAGCGUUAUCCGGAUUUAUUGGGCGUAAAGCGAGCGCAGGCGGUUAGAUAAGUCUGAAGUUAAAGGCU